This 212-nucleotide ribosomal RNA is filed under the name uncultured bacterium. Its description in RNAcentral is "partial 16S ribosomal RNA". It matches the Rfam family "Bacterial small subunit ribosomal RNA", at positions 1291 to 1500 of the family's 1533-position model. The record is from RNAcentral.
GUUCGGACUGUAGGCUGCAACUCGCCUACACGAAGCUGGAAUCGCUAGUAAUCGCGGAUCAGCACGCCGCGGUGAAUACGUUCCCGGGCCUUGUACACACCGCCCGUCACACCAUGAGAGUCUGUAACACCCAAAGCCGGUGGGAUAACCUUUAUAGGAGUCAGCCGUCUAAGGUAGGACAGAUGAUUAGGGUGAAGUCGUAACAAGGUACC